AUGAGUUUAUACAGAACCUUGGUUGACGAUAUUCUCCCAAUUCUAACCCAGAUACCACCAUGACUAACAGAAAUCCAGAAGUAAUUAAAUGCAAAGCUGCAGUCGUAUGGAAAGCAGGAGAGCCAUUGAAAGUGGAGGAAAUACAAGUGGAUCCUCCCAAAUCCUCUGAAGUUAGAAUCAAAAUGCUUUGUGCAAGUUUGUGUCACACUGAUUUUCUCUGUUGCAAUGGACACCCAGUUCCCCUGUUUCCCCGGAUUCCUGGACAUGAAGGAGUUGGAAUGAUAGAGAGUGUGGGAGGAGGAGUGUCAAACCUGAAGGAAGGAGAUAGAGUGAUGCCACUCUAUCUGGGAGAAUGUGGGGAAUGUCUGAAUUGCAAAUCUGGAAAGACAAAUUUAUGCCACAAAUAUCCCUUCAAUUUCACAGGCCUAAUGCCAGAUGGAACAUCAAGAAUGCACAUUGGAGAUCAGAUUAUAUAUCACCAUUUUAGCUGUGGUACAUGGUCGGAAUACGUUGUUAUCGAUGCGAAUUUCGCUGUCAAGGUAGAUCCCAGGGUUCCUCUUGCACAUGCAAGUUUCCUUUGCUGUGGUUUCACUACAGGUUUUGGAUCCGCCUGGAGGGCAGUCACUAUUGAAAAGGGCUCAACUGUUGCUGUAAUUGGUGUUGGUGCUGUUGGACUCGGAGUGAUGGAAGCAGCCCGAAUGCAAGGAGCAUCUAGGAUAAUUGGGAUCGACAAAAACAACUUCAAGAAGAAGAAAGGAGAAGCCUUUGGAAUGACUGAAUUUAUUAAUCCCAAAGAAUCUGAUAAACCUGUAUCAGAAUUGAUUAAAGAUGCUACAGAUGGACUGGGUGUGGAUUACUUUUAUGAGUGCACUGGGGUUCCAGCCAUGCUUAAUGAAGCAAUUGAGGGUUCCAAAGUGGGACUUGGGACAAUAGUACUGAUUGGUAGUGGACUUGAUUUAAGUGGAGAGCUCAAAUACAUUCCCCUCUUGUGUGGUAGGACAUUGAAGGGUUCCAUUUAUGGUGGAGUAAGACCUCAAUCGGACCUCCCUAUAAUAGUUGAGAAAUGCAUAAAUAAGGAAAUUCAACUGGAUGAACUGGAGACCCAUGAAGUUUCACUUGAAGAAAUUAACAAGGCAUGGGAGUAUCUGAAGCAACCCAACUGUGUUAAGAUUGUUAUCAAUUAUUAGAGGGAAUGCUCUUGUAUUCAAUAGUUGUUACUAAGCUGUACUCUGUGUGCUUGUGUAUCAAGAAGCCCUCAAGGACUACGUUUUCCUUUAAAUUAAUAAUAAUGGAGAAAAUAACCAAUCCAAUCGAUUAGUCCAA
Molecule: RNA transcript, 1323 nt
Organism: Olea europaea var. sylvestris
Lineage: Eukaryota; Viridiplantae; Streptophyta; Magnoliopsida; Lamiales; Oleaceae
Gene name: alcohol dehydrogenase class-3-like
Exons: 6
Source: RefSeq, a predicted model, not a curated record